This is a long non-coding RNA of Bombyx mori (domestic silkworm), 2491 nucleotides long. RefSeq lists it as uncharacterized. Lineage: Eukaryota; Metazoa; Arthropoda; Insecta; Lepidoptera; Bombycidae. The record is from RefSeq and is a predicted model, not a curated record. The transcript is spliced from 2 exons.
GUGGGUCGUCGCGGCACGGACCUGAGUCACAUUCCCUUUGGCUGCUGUUGCCCCGCGAAACGGAACGCUGCGUUACAGUGUAAUAAUAAUCAACAUCAACUUUUACAAUUUUAAACCGAAUUAAAUUUUGUUUCAAAUGUGAAGGGUAGAUGACGCUGUUCUUAAUUAUUUCAGAAUUUAAAAUUAAAAUCUGAAAGCCUUGAAACAUCAAUCCGCAUAAAUGUAAUUUAAAAACUACAGUAAGAGGCUUAAAUAAAAAGCUGAACUUAACUCAGCCUUAAUUAGAAUUUUCAUCGGAAUUCAGUAGUAAAGUUCAAGUUAUUUUGAUGAAAUCAAAACCGAAAUAUUCAUAGCAUCUUAAACAAUCACCUACGAAUAAAUAUUAGUUAUUAUAUUAUUUAUUAUUCGUAGACAAUCACAACGGUUUUAUAGUUUUGGGAAGGGAUUUUUUGUAACGCCAUCUCGUAAAGUAUUUCGGUAUUACAUUACAAAACAAAAUUGUUUCUCCAACAGUAACAACAGUACUUGCUUCGGCAGUACUUAAACUAAAAUACUAACAGUAAAAACAUUAACGUUAUUUAAUGUAUAAACCGUUCAAUAAGAACUGCAAACUAUCCCCUUGAAGCUACAGUUUAUGUAGGAAUAAUGACUUUUUGGCGGGAACGCGAGGUGUGAAGUUGUGUGAUUUGUUUUAAUUUGUCUAUUUAGUGUUUCUUCGGGUUUAAAUGUGUAAUAAUAGUGGUUUAUUAACUGUUUAAUAUCUGUGAAAGUGCACAAACGUGGGAAAAUGAAACAAAGCCGCUGUACGUAACUUCUCGGUUUCCUCCAAAAAGUCCACUGAGAUCUUAGUAAAUGACCACCACCAUUUUACUGAGAUUAUAUUUCAUUCCAUAUCAUCUCAUCUCAUUUCAUUUCAUCCCUUUUGAUUAAUGUCUCAAAUUAAUCAUCUUCAUUUCAUUUCACUCCAUAAUAUCACAUUUCAUUUCACUCCAUAAUAUCAUUUUUCAUAAAAAUAUGAAUAUAAAUUAAAAUAAGACAUGACUUAAAGGUCUCAGUUACCAGGUCAUAAAAUCCAUUACAAAUAGGAAUAAUUCCAGCGCACCCUGGCGGCCGUAGAUUACCAUUCUCGAAUAUUUAUAGUCUGUGGCAUGUCACUUUUUACAUCGAAAAAAGUCAGGAUCGAAAUUUUUGAGCGAGCCAUAGUUUGUGGUGAUAAAAUUAAUAAUUUCAAGUAGAUUAAUUGUUGUAAUUGAUAUAACUAGUUAAUAUCAGUAAAAUAAAGUUGUGAGUGAUUGAUAUAAUAUAAAAUUUAGGAACCAGAAGUACCGUAGAAUUAAAUAAAAUUUCGCAACCUCAAAAAACUGUUCUGCUCACAGUAAACACAGUCGGUAGUCUGGCGCUCCGUUUACAACGGGAUUUUUGAACGGAACUUGGCGCCAGAUUCUACCGAAUCUGUGGAUCUAAAUGAGCUAAGACUUCGGAUAGUCGUUUUUUGGAACAUUAUUUGUUAUGUACUUAUGAAAGAAGUACUUAUAUUAUAUACUAUACUAUAUACUAAUAAAUAUGUACUUAUAUUAUAUUUUAGUUUAAUCAUUAAAGCUUUAAAUGAAGAUGAGUCAUCAAAAUCGAUCAUGAAUAUUAAUACAACACACAGACAAAAAAUUUCAUUCACUCGCGAAGCAGGUGCCCUUGAGUUGUUGGGUCUCUUUUGGAGGCGUUCGGGCAACUGUUAGCAAAUCCCAUCCCUCCCGGCUGAGCAUUUGCUUGCCCACACCUGUCCUGGUGAAACUGGAAAGGCCUUCAGGAUACCAGUAAUCCUUUUGAAAAAAGAAAACAAUCACGCAAGUUUGAUUUUGUGACACGAUGUUAUACAAUCGUCGACGACGCCGUUAAUGACACAGAAGCCUAUAUUUUUGUAAAAUAAUACGCAAGCCCCAAAAUAAAGUUAUGCCAUAAUCGAAUAUCUACGAAUACAGUUUUAUAACAAGACCAAAAUAUUUAACAUUCAAAAAGAAAUUAUUCAUGACCAAUUCCAGAUACUAACUAAAUUGUUUUUUUUUUAAAUCCGUUUUUAGAUUAAUGGAAUAUAAGAAUGGUUGCUCUAUCUGAACUUGCUCCUCUUUUAAGAUAUUUCUAUGUAAAUAACGUUCAAUAUUUUUUGUGAAACUCAAUUUGUUAUCAUAACGUUUUUCACAGGAAAUCGCUUUAGUGAAAAAUACCUUAAGCCUUAUAUUUCACUUAUCUUUGUCUAAUUUGAUUUUGUUUAACGAUUAUGUUACUUAGCACGUAAAUGAGAGUAUUGUUCGUAUGUAUCAUAGUUGAAUAUAAAAAUAUUUAAGUGGUCCUAAUUGAUGAUAAAUGAUCUCCAUAAUCAGAUAACCAAGGCUGACAAUACCCGUGUUGAUUUAUAAGGUCUCUCUGAUCUCUGAUCUCUUGAAGAAUUAUCUUUCGAUCGUUCUCGAAAUAAAUAAAUAAAACUGAUCUUCCGAAA